UUUCCGUAGGUGAACCUGCGGAAGGAUCAUUGUCGAAACCUGCCCAGCAGAACGACCCGCGAACUUGUAUAAACAACUGGGGGCGGGGGGCGUUCUCGCCCCGUGCCCCCGAACGGCGGGGAGACACUCGUGCCUUCUUGCCGAACAACGAACCCCGGCGCGGUCUGCGCCAAGGAACUUCAACUAAAGAGUGCCUCCGGUCGCCUCGGAAACGGCGUGCGUGCCGGAGGCGAAUCUUGUGAAAAACCAUAACGACUCUCGGCAACGGAUAUCUCGGCUCUC
RNAcentral lists this unclassified non-coding RNA (282 nucleotides) under plant metagenome. RNAcentral describes it as "partial contains small subunit ribosomal RNA, internal transcribed spacer 1, and 5.8S ribosomal RNA". The record is from RNAcentral.